RNAcentral lists this ribosomal RNA (253 nucleotides) under uncultured bacterium. RNAcentral describes it as "partial 16S ribosomal RNA". It matches the Rfam family "Bacterial small subunit ribosomal RNA", at positions 524 to 776 of the family's 1533-position model. The record is from RNAcentral.
GACAGAGGGUGCAAACGUUGUUCGGAAUUACUGGGCGUAAAGCGCAUGUAGGCGGCUCGGAAAGUCGGAUGUGAAAGCCCAGGGCUCAACCCUGGAAGUGCACUCGAAACUCCCGAGCUGGAGUCCCGGAGAGGAAGGCGGAAUUCUCGGUGUAGAGGUGAAAUUCGUAGAUAUCGAGAGGAACACCCGUGGCGAAGGCGGCCUUCUGGACGGUGACUGACGCUGAGAUGCGAAAGCGUGGGGAGCAAACAGG